This 253-nucleotide ribosomal RNA is filed under the name uncultured bacterium. RNAcentral describes it as "partial 16S ribosomal RNA". It matches the Rfam family "Bacterial small subunit ribosomal RNA", at positions 524 to 776 of the family's 1533-position model. The record is from RNAcentral.
UACAGAGGGUGCGAGCGUUACUCGGAAUUACUGGGCGUAAAGCGUGCGUAGACGGUAGCGUAAGUCAGAUGUGAAAGCCCCGGGCUCAACCUGGGAAUUGCAUUUGAGACUGCUCUGCUCGGGUGCGGAAGAGGGAAGCGGAAUUUCCGGUGUAGCGGUGAAAUGCGUAGAGACCCGGAGGAACACCAGUGGCGAAGGCGGCUUCCUGGUCUGCGACUGACGCUGUGGCGCGAAAGCUAGGGGAGCAAACGGG